ACUUCGGUCAAAUGAACUAGUGGCGGACGGGUGAGUAACGCGUGAGCACCUGCCCUGGAGUGGGGGACAACAGUUGGAAACGACUGCUAAUACCGCAUAAGCCGGCAUCGGAAAAGGUUUAUUCGCUUCAGGAUGGACUCGCGUCCAAUUAGCUAGUUGGUGAGGUAACGGCCCACCAAGGCGACGAUUGGUAGCCGGACUGAGAGGUUGAACGGCCACAUUGGGACUGAGACACGGCCCAGACUCCUACGGGAGGCAGCAGUGGGGGAUAUUGCACAAUGGGGGAAACCCUGAUGCAGCGACGCCGCGUGGAGGAAGAAGGUUUUCGGAUUGUAAACUCCUGUCGUUAGGGACGAUAAUGACGGUACCUAACAAGAAAGCACCGGCUAACUACGUGCCAGCAGCCGCGGUAAAACGUAGGGUGCAAGCGUUGUCCGGAAUUACUGGGUGUAAAGGGAGCGCAGGCGGACCGGCAAGUUGGAAGUGAAAACUAUGGGCUCAACCCAUAAAUGCUUUCAAAACUGCUGGCCUUGAGUAGUGCAGAGGUAGGUGGAAUUCCCGGUGUAGCGGUGGAAUGCGUAGAUAUCGGGAGGAACACCAGUGGCGAAGGCGACCUACUGGGCACCAAUUGACGCUGAGGCUCGAAAGCAUGGGUAGCAAACAGGAUUAGAUACCCUGGUAGUCCAUGCCGUANACGAUGAUUACUAGGUGUUGG
Molecule: ribosomal RNA, 715 nt
Filed under: uncultured bacterium
Lineage: Bacteria
Description: bacterial SSU rRNA
Rfam family: Bacterial small subunit ribosomal RNA
Source: RNAcentral